GGCUUGGUGGUGGAUGGUCCACACCUGUACAAUGUUCGCAAUGAUGGUUUAUUUGACAGGAGGUGCCUGUUCGAAUCAGGCCCGAGCCG
This is a non-coding RNA of Mycena filopes, 89 nucleotides long. Lineage: Eukaryota; Fungi; Basidiomycota; Agaricomycetes; Agaricales; Mycenaceae. The record is from the annotation of a GenBank genome assembly.